Alosa sapidissima (American shad) is the source of this 613-nucleotide long non-coding RNA. RefSeq lists it as uncharacterized. NCBI's taxonomy places the organism in Eukaryota, Metazoa, Chordata, Actinopteri, Clupeiformes, Clupeidae. The record is from RefSeq and is a predicted model, not a curated record. The transcript has 3 exons.
UAUUAAAGAACAUUGGUGAACUUUAGGCAAACGUUGCUUAAUAAAGAACACACUUUCUUCCAUCAUAGUUUGUCUAACGUUAGUGCUAGCCAACGCUUGUCAAUAAUCCCACAAACACAAAGCAGGCUAAUGUAACGUUAGUUUUCUUCUUGAUAGGGAUCUGGUCGACGUUUAUGACGUUAACUAACGUGAUCUGGAAUUGCUAGUGUGGGUACCUGAUCUGCACGGGUUACCAGAUCUGCAUGAUUACGUCAUAAUAGAUGAUGUGUCGCCACCUCAUUCGUCCAAAGUCGAGAGUAGAAUUCGGCUGGGUUUGAAGCGUAGCUGCUCAAGCGAUGCCUGAGGCCUCAACGGAAAAGACCACCUUCAGCAUUCACUCCACAUUACUCCCGGCAGAGACAGGUGUCUUGUCCUACUAACACCCCACUCGUGGCCUGCACCUUGAUGUGGUUGACAGGCCUCAAUGGACAGUGAGACAGUGAUCUACAUUUGGACUGGCACCAACCAGACAUGGACACUGAAGCUUGAUUUCUCAUGAAUAUCUUUACAAGAUGCAACACACAUUGUGGAACACUUUAGACACUAAUAAACAUGUCCAUUGUUUUCUCUGGAA